GAUGAACGCUGGCGGCGUGCCUAAUACAUGCAAGUCGAGCGAACAGACGAGGAGCUUGCUCCUCUGACGUUAGCGGCGGACGGGUGAGUAACACGUGGAUAACCUACCUAUAAGACUGGGAUAACUUCGGGAAGCCGGAGCUAAUACCGGAUAAUAUAUUGAACCGCAUGGUUCAAUAGUGAAAGACGGUUUUGCUGUCACUUAUAGAUGGAUCCGCGCCGCAUUAGCUAGUUGGUAAGGUAACGGCUUACCAAGGCAACGAUGCGUAGCCGACCUGAGAGGGUGAUCAGCCACACUGGAACUGAGACACGGUCCAGACUCCUACGGGAGGCAGCAGUAGGGAAUCUUCCGCAAUGGGCGAAAGCCUGACGGAGCAACGCCGCGUGAGUGAUGAAGGUCUUCGGAUCGUAAAACUCUGUUAUUAGGGAAGAACAAAUGUGUAAGUAACUAUGCACGUCUUGACGGUACCUAAUCAGAAAGCCACGGCUAACUACGUG
Molecule: ribosomal RNA, 497 nt
Filed under: uncultured bacterium
Lineage: Bacteria
Description: partial 16S ribosomal RNA
Rfam family: Bacterial small subunit ribosomal RNA
Source: RNAcentral